GAUGAACGCUGGCGGCGUGCUUAACACAUGCAAGUCGAACGAUUGAAGCUGGAGCUUGCUCCGGCCGAUUUAGUGGCGGACGGGUGAGUAACGCGUGGGUAACCUGCCUCAUACAGGGGGAUAGCAGUUGGAAACGACUGGUAAAACCGCAUAAGCGCACGGUGUCGCAUGACACAGUGUGAAAACACUCCGGUGGUAUGAGAUGGACCCGCGUCUGAUUAGCUAGUUGGUGAGGUAACGGCCCACCAAGGCGACGAUCAGUAGCCGGCCUGAGAGGGUGAACGGCCACAUUGGGACUGAGACACGGCCCAAACUCCUACGGGAGGCAGCAGUGGGGAAUAUUGCACAAUGGGGGAAACCCUGAUGCAGCGACGCCGCGUGAGUGAUGAAGUAUUUCGGUAUGUAAAGCUCUAUCAGCAGGGAAGAUAAUGACGGUA
Molecule: ribosomal RNA, 437 nt
Filed under: uncultured bacterium
Lineage: Bacteria
Description: bacterial SSU rRNA
Rfam family: Bacterial small subunit ribosomal RNA
Source: RNAcentral